GACGAACGCUGGCGGCGUGCUUAACACAUGCAAGUCGAACGGAAAGGCCCUGCGUUUGUGGGGUGCUCGAGUGGCGAACGGGUGAGUAACACGCGAGUAACCUGCCCUUGACUUUGGGAUAACUUCAGGAAACUGGGGCUAAUACCGGAUAGGAGCUCCUGCUGCAUGGUGGUGGUUGGAAAGUUUCGGCGGUUGGGGAUGUACUCGCGGCUUAUCAGCUUGUUGGUGGGGUAGUGGCUUACCAAGGCUUCGACGGGUAGCCGGCCUGAGAGGGUGACCGGCCACAUUGGGACUGAGAUACGGCCCAGACUCCUACGGGAGGCAGCAGUGGGGAAUAUUGCACAAUGGGCGGAAGCCUGAUGCAGCAACGCCGCGUGCGGGAUGACGGCCUUCGGGUUGUAAACCGCUUUCGCCUGUGACGAAGCGUGAGUGACGGUAAUGGGUAAAGAAGCACCGGCUAACUACGUG
This 468-nucleotide ribosomal RNA is filed under the name uncultured bacterium. RNAcentral describes it as "partial 16S ribosomal RNA". It matches the Rfam family "Bacterial small subunit ribosomal RNA", at positions 28 to 507 of the family's 1533-position model. The record is from RNAcentral.